ACGAACGCUGGCGGCGUGCCUAACACAUGCAAGUCGAGCGGGGAUUUAAGUGGAAGUUCUUCGGAAUGGAGAUUUAAAUUCUAGCGGCGGACGGGUGAGUAACGCGUGAACAAUCUGUCCCGGACAGGGGGAUAACACUUGGAAACAGGUGCUAAUACCGCAUAAGACCACGGCCUCGCAUGGGGCUGAGGUAAAAGGAGCAAUCCGGUUCGGGGUGAGUUCGCGUCCGAUUAGCUAGUUGGUGAGGUAACGGCCCACCAAGGCGACGAUCGGUAGCCGGCCUGAGAGGGUGAACGGCCACAUUGGAACUGAGAGACGGUCCAAACUCCUACGGGAGGCAGCAGUGGGGAAUAGUGGGCAAUGGGCGAAAGCCUGACCCAGCAACGCCGCGUGAGGGAAGAAGGUUUUCGGAUUGUAAACCUCUGUCCUAUGGGACGAAGGAAGUGACGGUACCAUAGGAGGAAGCCCCGGCUAACUACGUG
This 482-nucleotide ribosomal RNA is filed under the name uncultured bacterium. RNAcentral describes it as "partial 16S ribosomal RNA". It matches the Rfam family "Bacterial small subunit ribosomal RNA", at positions 29 to 507 of the family's 1533-position model. The record is from RNAcentral.